CCUUAGAGUUUGAUCCUGGCUCAGGAUGAACGCUAGCUACAGGCUUAACACAUGCAAGUCGAGGGGCAGCGGGAUUGAAGCUUGCUUCAAUUGCCGGCGACCGGCGCACGGGUGAGUAACGCGUAUCCAACCUUCCGUACACUCAGGGAUAGCCUUUCGAAAGAAAGAUUAAUACCUGAUGGUAUGAUGAGAUUGUAUGAUAGCAUCAUUAAAGAUUUAUCGGUGUACGAUGGGGAUGCGUUCCAUUAGGUAGUAGGCGGGGUAACGGCCCACCUAGCCAACGAUGGAUAGGGGUUCUGAGAGGAAGGUCCCCCCACAUUGGAACUGAGACACGGUCCAAACUCCUACGGGAGGCAGCAGUGAGGAAUAUUGGUCAAUGGACGAGAGUCUGAACCAGCCAAGUAGCGUGAAGGAUGAAGGUCCUACGGAUUGUAAACUUCUUUUAUAAGGGAAUAAACCCUCCCACGUGUGGGAGCUUGUAUGUACCUUAUGAAUAAGCAUCGGCUAACUCCGUGCCAGCAGCCGCGGUAAUACGGAGGAUGCGAGCGUUAUCCGGAUUUAUUGGGUUUAAAGGGAGCGCAGACGGGUCGUUAAGUCAGCUGUGAAAGUUUGGGGCUCAGCCUUAAAAUUGCAGUUGAUACUGGCGUCCUUGAGUGCGGUUGAGGUGUGCGGAAUUCGUGGUGUAGCGGUGAAAUGCUUAGAUAUCACGAAGAACUCCGAUUGCGAAGGCAGCACACUAAUCCGUAACUGACGUUCAUGCUCGAAAGUGUGGGUAUCAAACAGGAUUAGAUACCCUGGUAGUCCACACGGUAAACGAUGGAUACUCGCUGUUGGCGAUAUACUGUCAGCGGCUUAGCGAAAGCGUUAAGUAUCCCACCUGGGGAGUACGCCGGCAACGGUGAAACUCAAAUGAAUUG
This 917-nucleotide ribosomal RNA is filed under the name uncultured bacterium. Its description in RNAcentral is "bacterial SSU rRNA". It matches the Rfam family "Bacterial small subunit ribosomal RNA", at positions 1 to 912 of the family's 1533-position model. The record is from RNAcentral.